UACGGGGGGGGCAAGCGUUGUUCGGAAUUACUGGGCGUAAAGGGCUCGUAGGCGGCCAACUAAGUCAGACGUGAAAUCCCCAGGCUCAGCCUGGGAACUGCGUCUGAUACUGGAUGGCUUGAAUCCGGGAGAGGGAUGCAGAAUUCCAGGUGUAGCGGUGAAAUGCGUAGACAUCUGGAGGAACACCGGUGGCGAAGGCGGCGUUCUGGACUGCAACUGACACUGAGGAACGAUAUCCAGGUGAGCAAACGGG
This 253-nucleotide ribosomal RNA is filed under the name uncultured bacterium. RNAcentral's name for it is "partial 16S ribosomal RNA". It matches the Rfam family "Bacterial small subunit ribosomal RNA", at positions 524 to 776 of the family's 1533-position model. The record is from RNAcentral.